UACAGAGGUCUCAAGCGUUGUUCGGAUUCAUUGGGCGUAAAGGGUGCGUAGGUGGCGCGCUAAGUCAGGUGUGAAAUUUCGGAGCUUAACUCCGAAACUGCAUUUGAUACUGGCGUGCUUGAGGACUGGAGAGGAGACUGGAAUUCAUGGUGUAGCAGUGAAAUGCGUAGAGAUCAUGAGGAAGACCAGUGGCGAAGGCGGAUCUCUGGACAGUUCCUGACACUGAGGCACGAAGGCCAGGGGAGCAAACGGG
Molecule: ribosomal RNA, 253 nt
Filed under: uncultured bacterium
Lineage: Bacteria
Description: partial 16S ribosomal RNA
Rfam family: Bacterial small subunit ribosomal RNA
Source: RNAcentral